CCUACGGGUGGCAGCAGUGGGGAAUAUUGGACAAUGGGGGGAACCCUGAUCCAGCAAUGCCGCGUGUGUGAAGAAGGCCUUCGGGUUGUAAAGCACUUUCAGUAGGGAGGAAAGGUGCGUAGUUAAUACCUGCGCAAUUGACGUUACCUACAGAAGAAGCACCGGCUAACUCCGUGCCAGCAGCCGCGGUAAUACGGAGGGUGCGAGCGUUAUUCGGAAUUACUGGGCGUAAAGCGCACGCAGGCGGUUGCCCAAGUCAGAUGUGAAAGCCCCGGGCUUAACCUGGGAACUGCAUUUGAAACUGGGCGACUAGAGUAUGAAAGAGGAAAGCGGAAUUUCCAGUGUAGCAGUGAAAUGCGUAGAUAUUGGAAGGAACACCGAUGGCGAAGGCAGCUUUCUGGGUCGAUACUGACGCUCAUGUGCGAAAGCGUGGGGAGCAAACAGGAUUAGAUACCCUAGUAGUC
Molecule: ribosomal RNA, 464 nt
Filed under: uncultured Cardiobacterium sp.
Lineage: Bacteria; Pseudomonadati; Pseudomonadota; Gammaproteobacteria; Cardiobacteriales; Cardiobacteriaceae
Description: bacterial SSU rRNA
Rfam family: Bacterial small subunit ribosomal RNA
Source: RNAcentral